CUAGUUGGUGAGGUAAUGGCUCACCAAGGCAACGAUCGGUAGCCGGCCUGAGAGGGUGAUCGGCCACACCGGAACUGAGACACGGUCCGGACUCCUACGGGAGGCAGCAGUGGGGAAUCUUGCGCAAUGGGCGAAAGCCUGACGCAGCAACGCCGCGUGGAGGAUGAAGGCCCUUGGGUUGUAAACUCCUGUCGGCUGGGAAGAACUCGUACGAUGCUCAUACCAUCGUGCGUUGACUGUACCAGCAAAGGAAGCCCCGGCUAACUCUGUGCCAGCAGCCGCGGUAAUACAGAGGGGGCUAGCGUUAUUCGGAAUUAUUGGGCGUAAAGGGCGCGUAGGCGGCCUUGCGUGUCUUUCGUGAAAUCCCUCGGCUUAACUGAGGACGUGCGGAAGAAACUGCAGGGCUUGAGUCCGGGAGAGGGGGGUGGAAUUCCCAGUGUAGCGGUGAAAUGCGUAGAUAUUGGGAGGAACACCGGUGGCGAAGGCGGCCCCCUGGACCGGUACUGACGCUGAGGCGCGAAAGCGUGGGGAGCAAACGGGAUUAGAUACCCCGGUAGUCCACGCCGUAAACGAUGGGCACUUGGUGUCGCGGGUAUCGACCCCUGCGGUGCCGAAGCUAACGCAUUAAGUGCCCCGCCUGGGGAGUACGGUCGCAAGGCUGAAACUCAAAGGAAUUGACG
RNAcentral lists this ribosomal RNA (680 nucleotides) under uncultured Acidobacteriota bacterium. RNAcentral's name for it is "SSU rRNA". It matches the Rfam family "Bacterial small subunit ribosomal RNA", at positions 245 to 915 of the family's 1533-position model. Lineage: Bacteria; Pseudomonadati; Acidobacteriota. The record is from RNAcentral.